Molecule: long non-coding RNA, 1825 nt
Filed under: Homo sapiens (human)
Lineage: Eukaryota; Metazoa; Chordata; Mammalia; Primates; Hominidae
Description: HSALNT0304471
Source: RNAcentral
GGAAAAUGCAAAUUAAAGUUGCAGCAUGGCAGCACACGACCACCAGAAAGGCUAAAAUUAAAAAAAGGUGGAUGAUGCAUGGUCCCCACUGACCCCCCUUCCUGGUACUCCUGUCCUUGUGGCGUCCCUCCCCUUGAGUAUGGGUGGGACCUAUGACUUGCUUCUAACCAAUAGAAUAUGGUGAAGGGGAUUGGACGUCACUUCCGUGUUUACAUCACAGAAGACCGUAACUUCCGUCUUGCCAGCCCAUUCUCUCUAAUGACUGUCUCCCUCGCUGGAUGUGAUGAAGUAGGCUACAUUAUGCAGCACCCCAUGAAACAAAGAAUUGAGUGUGACCACCAGGCAACAUCUGGCAAGGAACUGAGUUCCAACAGUGCACAAGGAAGUGAAUCCUGACAACAGUCCCAAGAGCUUAGGAGUGAAUCCUUCUCCACUCCAGCCUCAGAUAAGUCUUGCCCUUAAUUGCAGCCUCAUGAAAGACUCUGAAACCUUGGGCCCAGGUAACCCAUGCCAAGAUUCCUGACCUGCAGAAACUGUGGGUCAUCAAGCAUGUUCUUUCAAGUCUCUACAUGUGUAGUAAUUUGUUAUGCAGCUUUAGAUAACCAAGAGAUGGAACAAUUGGAACUGCCCUACAGUUACGGUGGGGCAUAAAAUGACACAAGCAUUUUGGAAAACAGUUGGGCAGUUUCUUAUAAAAUUAAACAGACACUUACCCUAACACCCAGCAUUGUGCUCUAGGUAUUUACCUAAGAAAAAUAAAACGUGUUUAUACAAAGACUUAUACAUGAAUAUUUAUAGCAGUUUUAUACAUAAUAGCCUACAAGUAGAAACAACUCAAAUGUCCAUCCAAAGACAAAUAACUAAAGUAUGGAAUAUUCAUACAGUAAAAUACUACUCAGCAAUCAAGAGGAAUGAGCCACUAACACAUUCAACAACAUCGAUGAAUGUCAAAAACGUCAUGUUGAGGAAAAGACCCCAGACAUAAAAGAAUAUAUUAUAUAUUAGUCCAUUUAUAUUAAACUCUAGAAAGCACAAAUCUAAUCUUUGAUCAUAGAAAAUAGAUCUGUGGUCAUCUAAAACUGGGGGUGUGAGGUCAGGAUUGACAGCAAAGGCUCACAAGCCUGACUUUUGGGGGUGGUGGGCAAGUUCUACAUCUUGAUUGUGACAGUAUUUACAAUCAACUGUCAAAACUCAUGGAGCUGUUCACUUAAAGUUGGUAAAUUAUAUUUUAUGUAAAUUUUUCCUUGAUAAAGUUUUUUUAAAUGAUCUCAAGGUGGAUUAAAGACUUAAACUGUAAAACUCCCAGGAGAAAACAUACAGAGGAUCCUUCAUUAUAUUGGUAUUGGCAGUGAUUUAUUGGAUAUGAUGCCAAAAGCACAGUACACAAAAACAAAAACAGAAUACAGCAACGGAACAAUUAACAGAGUGAAAAAGUAACCUGUGGAAUGGGAAAAUGGGAAUGCUGUUCUGCAUAGCAACGGAACAAUUGGCAGAGUGAAAAGGUGAAUGGAUAAAGACAAUAGGGUACAUAUGGACAAUGGAAUAUUAUUAAGCCUUAAAAAGAAGGAAAUCCUGCCAUAUGCAACAACUUGGAUGAAAGCGAGGACAUUAUAGCAAGUGACAUAUUUAGGACAAAUACUGCAUGAUGUCACUUAAAAAGUUUCUUGCAGCUUGGUGUGGUGGAUCUCACCUGUAAUCCCAGGACUUUGGGAGGCCGAGGCAAGAGGAUUGCUUGAGACCAGGAGAUGAAGACCAGCCUGGGCAACAUAAUGAGACCCUGUCUCCACAAAAAUAAAAUAAAAUAAAAUAAAGAUAAAAAUAAAAA